AACGAACGCUGGCGGCAUGCCUAACACAUGCAAGUCGAGCGAGGACUUCGGUUCUAGCGGCGCACGGGUGAGUAACGCGUGGGAAUCUGCCCUUCUCUUCGGAAUAGCCCCGGGAAGCUGGUAGUAAUACCGUAUACUCCCUUUUGGGGAAAGAUUUAUCGCAUAAGGAUGGGCCCGCGUUGGAUUAGGUAGUUGGUAGGGUAAUGGCCUACCAAGCCGACGAUCCAUAGCUGGUUUGAGAGGAUGAUCAGCCACACUGGGACUGAGACACGGCCCAGACUCCUACGGGAGGCAGCAGUGGGGAAUUUUAGACAAUGGGGGAAACCCUGAUCUAGCCAUGCCGCGUGAGUGAUGAAGGCCUUAGGGUUGUAAAGCUCUUUCAGCUGGGAAGAUAAUGACGGUACCGGCAGAAGAAGCCCCGGCUAACUCCGUG
This 433-nucleotide ribosomal RNA is filed under the name uncultured bacterium. RNAcentral's name for it is "partial 16S ribosomal RNA". It matches the Rfam family "Bacterial small subunit ribosomal RNA", at positions 29 to 507 of the family's 1533-position model. The record is from RNAcentral.